RNAcentral lists this ribosomal RNA (251 nucleotides) under uncultured prokaryote. RNAcentral's name for it is "partial 16S rRNA". It matches the Rfam family "Bacterial small subunit ribosomal RNA", at positions 525 to 775 of the family's 1533-position model. The record is from RNAcentral.
ACGGAGGGUGCAAGCGUUAUCCGGAUUCAUUGGGUUUAAAGGGUGCGCAGGCGGAUUAAUAAGUCAGUGGUGAAAUCCUACGGCUCAACUGUAGAACUGCCAUUGAUACUGUUAGUCUUGAGUAUUGUUGAGGUAGGCGGAAUGUGUCAUGUAGCGGUUAAAGUCGUAGAGAUGACACAAACCACCGGUCGCGAAGGCAUCCUACCGAGCAAUAGCUGACGCUCAUGCUCGAGAGCGUGGGGAUCAAACUG